CCAAUUACCCCGCUACAUCUCUUUUUCACGUUCUAAAGGAUCUCAUCAAAGCCAUUAGGAACAACUGUACCAAAAAAAAGCCAUUAGGAACAAAAAUGCACCUAAUCCGAGCUGAUUAAAUUUUCCUCUAAUUAAUCACAGUUCUCUGGCCAUGUUCCCACGAAAAUAGACAUUUGAAACCCAUUCUCAUGUUCUCGUAGCAAAAGAAAUUACAUCUAUUGGUGUUAUGAAA
This 232-nucleotide long non-coding RNA is filed under the name Elaeis guineensis (African oil palm). Its description in RNAcentral is "long non-coding RNA (EGUI_LNC020853)". Lineage: Eukaryota; Viridiplantae; Streptophyta; Magnoliopsida; Arecales; Arecaceae. The record is from RNAcentral.